Long non-coding RNA from Galeopterus variegatus (Sunda flying lemur), 2232 nucleotides. RefSeq lists it as uncharacterized. NCBI's taxonomy places the organism in Eukaryota, Metazoa, Chordata, Mammalia, Dermoptera, Cynocephalidae. The record is from RefSeq and is a predicted model, not a curated record. The transcript is spliced from 2 exons.
AGGCUCGCGGCGCCUUGUGUCCAGGAUCCCCCGGGCCCCGCCGCCCACGUGGGAGCUGAGGCCCUGGGGCUUCUGGCUCACGAUUGUUUCCUUAGAACAACUUUUAUUUUUAAAGUCUGUGGAGCGCUCUUGCCUGUGUGAUCUUCUCUGAGGUUCGGCCCUCGUUAGCCUUCCAACCCACGUAAGCCCUCGGGCCUAGACCGAGGAAAGGUUUGUUAAAUGGGGAACUGAGAUGGGCCGCUGGGUAGUAGGUGCGGUGCCAGCGCGGAAUCUCCAGGGAGACCUGGUGCCCAAAGCUUGUACUUGGCGUGAAAAAUCAGAAGCAGAUGCAAAGCAAUGUGCAGGCACAGAGAAGAGAAAGAAAGCAUAUGUAGGCCCAUUGCUUUCUUUUUUCCAUUGUACUAAUCAUUGCUUGGUAUAUAUUUACUAGCUUGUUUAUUGAUUUCCCUCCCAGACACUCGGCUUUACUCACUGCUGUAUCCUCAGUGCCUAGAACAGUGCUUGGAACGUGGUAGGUGUUCAUAUUCGAACCAAUGAAUUCAAAAGAGUAGGACUCAGUGGAACCGCAGUAGGAUCUGUAGUCUUGGAGCUGCACUGGGUUGGUGGUACCCUAGAGCACACCAGACUUGCAGAAAAAGCAUACUCCGGAGGAAGCUGAGGCAUGCCUGCUCAAGAGCCAGCGGUUCCAUGUGCAAUUUUCCUCUGAUACUUCCUGGGUACUGUUGCCACGGUGAUAAUGACUGUACCAUGUCAUUGUCUAUCCACCAACAGUAAGAGAAGCUUUGCAGUCGAGAUAUUGUUUAGCAGAUGGAGUGGUUUCUGUUGGACACUAAGUACUGCUACAAAUGACUGUUUUUAAAAGCUUGAGUAUUUUUUAAAUUGUGGCUGGAGGUGACCUGUUUAUGCUUUGGGGGUGCUCAAAUUUAAAAUCAGAAAAUCUUUGCAUGUCAGCUAGUGAGUCUUCCAAAUAAUCAUUCAACAUGAAACUUGAGCCUAGUAAACUGUGAAAGUAAACUCAGGACAUUACUUCAGUUUUGUAUUUUCAUCCCCGUCAAUGUUAUUGAUGCUUGCUAAUUUUGUAAUGUGGGACCCAACAUUGAUUAGGUCCUUAAAGAAUCUUUUUGUUUUUCAGAUUCAUUGAUUCCAGGUGAAUCAGAGGAAGAAGCAUCAUGAACAGAAAUAUAAACAAAAUACUAAUAUGCUGAAGCAUAACUGCUGUUUUAAAAGUCCAGCAUCUGGUACCCUUAAACCAUAGAGAAUAUAUUAAAUUCCUUCCAACAUCACAUAAAUUUUACUAAUGCUUACAUUGUAGUAAGUUUUUUGUUUGUUUUUUAAAUAAAUAUUGGAGAGCUGGCCAGUUAGCUUAGUUGGUUAGAGUCUGGUGUUGUAACACCACGGUCAAGGGUUUGGAUCACCGUACCAAAUAAAUAAAUAUUGGUGAUUUGUUCCUGAAAACCUAAUUUGUUUAUUGCCUACUAUAAACUGUCUAAUUCUGCUUUUGUGUUGACUGGGAGAGGGAGAAGAAUUUGCAAACUUAUGUUCUGAGGAUCCGAAACAGAACAGUAAUGGGGAGUAUCAAAUUCCUAACCUAGAGUUUAAUAGUGGCUUUGGAAGCACAUUUAUCUUUUUUAGUUGUCAAAUGUUUUAUUAAGUUGAGAAUACAGCUGUCAUUAAAGAUUAAGAUUAAACCUUGAGCAGAAAGAUUACAAAGCCUAUGUUUUUCAAAAUUGUAGUAGAGUUGCUGUGUUUCGUAGAAUAUGAACACACAUGAAAUGCUAAGGAUUUGGGAAAGAAUGUCGGUGCUCUUUCAAGGAGCUAAGAGGGAUGGCAUUGAAAGCAUGACUAAGGACAGGAAAAUAAGUCAUUUUUCUAAAUCAAAGAAAUUUAAGCAGUAUGUCUAAAUUUGAAUUUUUAAUAAAAUGCAACCAAAAAUACAGUGAAAUGUUGUACGUGUUGCGUAGAUUCCUUUCUGUUUUUGAUUUAAUACUGCUUUCGGGGUAUUAGCAUCAAACAUCAAUGAUCUUAAGAAGCAGAAAACAAUGUUCAAAAUACUUCUGCGAAAGCUCCUAACAUUUAUAUAUGAUUUGGCAUUUUUGUUUGAGGUUUUUCUUUAGAAAUCUUAUAAUGAAAAUGUGGUAAAUUAUACUUCUUAAUCGGUUGUCAAAAAUCUCCACUCUUGCUCAAAUCUUUUUGGCUGUUUUAAACACCUAAGUAAAUAAAUGAUGUGUAUCA